Jaculus jaculus (lesser Egyptian jerboa) is the source of this 133-nucleotide small nucleolar RNA. Lineage: Eukaryota; Metazoa; Chordata; Mammalia; Rodentia; Dipodidae. The record is from RefSeq and is a predicted model, not a curated record.
GCGCUGCCUUUGAGUCCCCGCCGCGCCUGCACGUGGCUGCGGGGGUCUAGCUGCGGCGUUCCUGGGCCUGGAGGGGGCCAGGCGGUGUUCACUCAAGGCUAAAGUGCCCAGGGCGCUUUCCCCUUCCACAACA